GAUGAACGCUGGCGGCGUGCCUAAUACAUGCAAGUCGAGCGAACGGACGAGAAGCUUGCUUCUCUGAUGUUAGCGGCGGACGGGUGAGUAACACGUGGAUAACCUACCUAUAAGACUGGGAUAACUUCGGGAAACCGGAGCUAAUACCGGAUGAUAUUUUGAACCGCAUGGUUCAAAAGUGAAAGACGGUCUUGCUGUCACUUAUAGAUGGAUCCGCGCUGCAUUAGCUAGUUGGUAAGGUAACGGCUUACCAAGGCAACGAUGCAUAGCCGACCUGAGAGGGUGAUCGGCCACACUGGAACUGAGACACGGGCCAGACUCCUACGGGAGGCAGCAGUAGGGAAUCUUCCGCAAUGGGCGAAAGCCUGACGGAGCAACGCCGCGUGAGUGAUGAAGGUCUUCGGAUCGUAAAACUCUGUUAUUAGGGAAGAACAUAUGUGUAAGUAACUGUGCACAUCUUGACGGUACCUAAUCAGAAAGCCACGGCUAACUACGU
Molecule: ribosomal RNA, 496 nt
Filed under: uncultured bacterium
Lineage: Bacteria
Description: partial 16S ribosomal RNA
Rfam family: Bacterial small subunit ribosomal RNA
Source: RNAcentral